UACGUAGGGGCCUAGCGUUGUCCGGAUUUAUUGGGCGUAAAGAGCUCGUAGGCGGUUCGGUAAGUCAGGUGUGAAAUCUCCACGCUCAACGUGGAGGCGCCACCUGAAACUGCCGUGACUCGAGUCCGGUAGGGGAGUGUGGAAUUCCGAGUGUAGAGGUGAAAUUCGUAGAUAUUCGGAAGAACACCAGUGGCGAAGGCGGCUCACUGGACCGGCAUUGACGCUGAGGUGCGAAAGCGUGGGGAGUAAACAGG
RNAcentral lists this ribosomal RNA (254 nucleotides) under uncultured bacterium. RNAcentral describes it as "partial 16S ribosomal RNA". It matches the Rfam family "Bacterial small subunit ribosomal RNA", at positions 524 to 776 of the family's 1533-position model. The record is from RNAcentral.